UGCAGAAUCCCGUGAACCAUCGAGUCUUUGAACGCAAGUUGCGCCCGAAGCCAUUAGGCCGAGGGCACGUCUGCCUGGGCGUC
This 83-nucleotide ribosomal RNA is filed under the name Panax ginseng (ginseng). RNAcentral's name for it is "partial 5.8S ribosomal RNA". It matches the Rfam family "5.8S ribosomal RNA", at positions 73 to 153 of the family's 154-position model. From Rfam's summary of the family: 5.8S ribosomal RNA (5.8S rRNA) is a component of the large subunit of the eukaryotic ribosome. Lineage: Eukaryota; Viridiplantae; Streptophyta; Magnoliopsida; Apiales; Araliaceae. RNAcentral also lists the same sequence under 8 other names. The record is from RNAcentral.